RNAcentral lists this ribosomal RNA (486 nucleotides) under uncultured bacterium. Its description in RNAcentral is "bacterial SSU rRNA". It matches the Rfam family "Bacterial small subunit ribosomal RNA", at positions 19 to 518 of the family's 1533-position model. The record is from RNAcentral.
CUGGCUCAGAACGAACGCUGGUGGCGUGUCUUAUACAUGCAAGUCGAGCGGUGCAGCAAUGCAUAGCGGCGAACGGGUGAGUAACGCGUAAGCAAUCUGCCCCCUGUUCGGGAAUAGCCGUGCCAACGCGCGGGUAAUACCGGAUAUAGUGGCCCUGGACAUCCGGGGUUGACAAAGGAUUUAUCGGCAGGGGAUGAGCUUGCGUCCGAUUAGCUAGUUGGCGGGCAACGGCCCACCAAGGCGACGAUCGGUAGCCGGCCUGAGAGGGUGAUCGGCCACAUUGGGACUGAGAUACGGCCCAGACUCCUACGGGAGGCAGCAGUAGGGAAUAUUGCACAAUGGGGGAAACCCUGAUGCAGCAACGCCACGUGUGGGAAGAAAGCAUUUCGGUGUGUAAACCACUGUCGUGAGGGAAUAAGGCUGAGUUUCGGCUCAGUUGAAUGUACCUCGAGAGGAAGCACCGGCAAACUUCGUGCCAGCAGCAGC